GUCGUGCGAGAAAGGGACUUCGGUCCUGAGUACAGCGGCGCACGGGUGAGUAACGCGUGGGUAACCUACCUCGAAGUUGGGAAUAACCCGGGGAAACCUGGGCUAAUGCCGAAUGAGCCUACGAGCUCCUCGGAUCAUGUGGGAAAAGAUGGCCUCUGCUUGCAAGCUAUCGCUUUGAGAUGGGCCCGCGUCCCAUUAGCUAGUUGGUGAGGUAAUGGCUCACCAAGGCUCCGAUGGGUAGCUGGUCUGAGAGGACGAUCAGCCACACUGGAACUGAGACACGGUCCAGACUCCUACGGGAGGCAGCAGUCGGGAAUCUUGGGCAAUGGGCGCAAGCCUGACCCGGCGACGCCGCGUGAGGGAUGAAGGCCUUCGGGUCGUAAACCUCUGUCAGGAGGGAAGAACGUCGGCGAGGUGAACAAUCUCGUUGGUUGACGGUACCUCCAAAGGAAGCGCCGGCUAACUCCGUGCCAGCAGCCGCGGUAAUACGGAGGGCGCAAGCGUUGUUCGGAAUCACUGGGCGUAAAGCGCGUGUAGGCGGCCGGGCAAGUCGGUUGUGAAAUCCCGAGGCUCAACCUCGGAACUGCAUUCGAAACUGCUCGGCUCGAGUCCCGGAGAGGAUGGCGGAAUUCCCGGUGUAGGGGUGAAAUCCGUAGAUAUCGGGAGGAACACCAGCGGCGAAGGCGGCCAUCUGGACGGUGACUGACGCUGAGACGCGAAAGCGUGGGGAGCAAACAGGAUUAGAUACCCUGGUAGUCCACGCCGUAAACGGUGAGUGCUAGACGUCGCGGGUAUUGACCCCCGCGGUGUCGAAGCUAACGCGUUAAGCACUCCGCCUGGGGAGUACGGCCGCAAGGCUAAAACUCAAAGGAAUUGACGGGGG
Molecule: ribosomal RNA, 883 nt
Filed under: uncultured bacterium
Lineage: Bacteria
Description: bacterial SSU rRNA
Rfam family: Bacterial small subunit ribosomal RNA
Source: RNAcentral